RNAcentral lists this ribosomal RNA (428 nucleotides) under Chloroflexota bacterium. RNAcentral describes it as "Chloroflexi bacterium partial 16S ribosomal RNA". It matches the Rfam family "Bacterial small subunit ribosomal RNA", at positions 355 to 776 of the family's 1533-position model. The record is from RNAcentral. Lineage: Bacteria; Bacillati; Chloroflexota.
UGGGGAAUAUUGCACAAUGGGCGCAAGCCUGAUGCAGCCAUGCCGCGUGUGUGAAGAAGGCCUUCGGGUUGUAAAGCACUUUCAGCGGGGAGGAAGGCGUUAAGGUUAAUAACCUUGGCGAUUGACGUUACCCGCAGAAGAAGCACCGGCUAACUCCGUGCCAGCAGCCGCGGUAAUACGGAGGGUGCAAGCGUUAAUCGGAAUUACUGGGCGUAAAGCGCACGCAGGCGGUCUGUCAAGUCGGAUGUGAAAUCCCCGGGCUCAACCUGGGAACUGCAUUCGAAACUGCAGGCUAGAGUCUUGUAGAGGGGGGUAGAAUUCCAGGUGUAGCGGUGAAAUGCGUAGAGAUCUGGAGGAAUACCGGUGGCGAAGGCGGCCCCCUGGACAAAGACUGACGCUCAGGUGCGAAAGCGUGGGGAGCAAACAGG